Pelodiscus sinensis (Chinese soft-shelled turtle) is the source of this 1049-nucleotide long non-coding RNA. RefSeq lists it as uncharacterized. The record is from RefSeq and is a predicted model, not a curated record. Lineage: Eukaryota; Metazoa; Chordata; Testudines; Trionychidae.
AAUGCAUUAAGGGUGUUUCCUUUGCUAAGAAAGCGUAUAAAAGUGCUAGUCAGUACAGGUGGUUCUAUCGACUCCUCUUGACUUCAUCUGCCUGGUGCACUGGGUUCACAACACUCGCCGACGAUGACAUUUCCAUGUGCUCCGCGAUGCCACCCGUGUCCCGACUUAUGCCCAGAGCCAUGCGCCGUUGUCUGCAAUGAUCCAUGUGUCACAUCCUGCGGUGACUCCACAGCCGUGGUCUUUGCUCCACCAGUGGCUAUCAGAUUCCCGGGACCAACUCUUGCCACUUGUGCGCAAGACAGUGUUGUGGGAAGCUCUGCACCAUGGCUCCCCUAUGGCCCCUAUGGCCCCUCUAGGGGUGGUGCUGGGGGUGGUGCUGGGAGCGGUGCCGGGGGCGGUGUUUACGGUGGUGUUUUUGGGGGUGGUGUUUAUGGUGGUGCUCUUGGGGGUGGAUCUGGAAGUGGAUUUGGGGGUUGUUCUGGUGGUGGCUAUGGGGGCUCCUUUAGACAAUGGUCGAGAUAUGAUCGGAAGUGCUAUGCUAACCGAUAUGACUGUUGUCCGCCAUGUUAAACCCAGACAAAAGCUCCAAGGAACCGAAACCAAGCAGGAAAAGAAUGACACUAUGGAAAUUCCCGAUGCAACUGUUGGUGCAGGAACAUCUACAAUUCCACUCCAUGCCGGGGGGUUGUGGGUGAUCUUCACUUUAUGAACUGGACUUACCAAUGUCUUCCUAUGCUACCUAGUACCUGAGCACUAUGGUCUGUCUCGUUCUGGGACUUUGUCUCAUGCUUGUAGCUUGCCUUGUCCUUUCUCGUGCUGAGCCCUUUACAGCCAGCGAGUAAAACCGCUCCCAAAUGUGACACCAUUUUCAAGCCCUGCAGCUGCAGGAAGUGAGUGAACACGCUGUGUGGAACCCCUCACAUCGCUGCUGGUGACUGCUCUUGCUUUCCCUGUGCUCCUGGAAAUGCGUUCUCUGUGUUCUGUAUCAAUGAAUUCUUUCAGUGUGCACCCUGGGGCCAUUUCCCAUUAAAAUUGUUUUCUGCAUUAUA